GUGAACGAGCGACGCCGCGUGGAGGAUGAAGGCCUUCGGGUUGUAAACUCCUGUCGAGGGGGAACAAGGACCGGUGCAGAAUCGGUCUUGAGUGAUCCCUGGAGGAAGCACGGGCUAAGUUCGUGCCAGCAGCCGCGGUAAGACGAACCGUGCAAACGUUAUUCGGAAUCACUGGGCUUAAAGCGCGUGUAGGCGGUCCGGCACGUCUGGUGCUGAAAGCCCCCGGCUCAACCGGGGAAUGGGCACGGAUACGACCGGACUGGAGGGGGGUAGGGGGAGCCGGAACUUCCGGUGGAGCGGUGAAAUGCGUUGAGAUCGGAAGGAACGCCCGUGGCGAAAGCGGGCUCCUGGACCCCACCUGACGCUGAGACGCGAAAGCCAGGGGAGCAAACGGGAUUAGAUACCCCGGUAGUCCUGGCCGUAAACGAU
RNAcentral lists this ribosomal RNA (429 nucleotides) under uncultured anaerobic ammonium-oxidizing bacterium. RNAcentral describes it as "bacterial SSU rRNA". It matches the Rfam family "Bacterial small subunit ribosomal RNA", at positions 383 to 810 of the family's 1533-position model. The record is from RNAcentral.